UACGUAGGGUGCAAGCGUUGUCCGGAAUUAUUGGGCGUAAAGAGCUCGUAGGCGGUCUGUCGCGUCUGCUGUGAAAACUCAGGGCUUAACCCUGAGCUUGCAGUGGGUACGGGCAGACUAGAGUGCGGUAGGGGAGACUGGAAUUCCUGGUGUAGCGGUGAAAUGCGCAGAUAUCAGGAGGAACACCGGUGGGCGAAGGCGGGGUCUCUGGGCCGUAACUGACG
RNAcentral lists this ribosomal RNA (224 nucleotides) under uncultured bacterium. RNAcentral's name for it is "partial 16S ribosomal RNA". It matches the Rfam family "Bacterial small subunit ribosomal RNA", at positions 524 to 745 of the family's 1533-position model. The record is from RNAcentral.